Molecule: ribosomal RNA, 261 nt
Filed under: Staphylococcus aureus
Lineage: Bacteria; Bacillati; Bacillota; Bacilli; Caryophanales; Staphylococcaceae
Description: partial 16S ribosomal RNA
Rfam family: Bacterial small subunit ribosomal RNA
Source: RNAcentral
GCUGGCGGCGUGCCUAAUACAUGCAAGUCGAGCGAACGGACGAGAAGCUUGCUUCUCUGAUGUUAGCGGCGGACGGGUGAGUAACACGUGGAUAACCUACCUAUAAGACUGGGAUAACUUCGGGAAACCGUAGCUAAUACCGGAUAAUAUUUUGAACCGCAUGGUUCAAAAGUGAAAGACGGUCUUGCUGUCACUUAUAGAUGGAUCCGCGCUGCAUUAGCUAGUUGGUAAGGUAACGGCUUACCAAGGCAACGAUGCAUA